GUAAAUGCGUUUGAGAAAAAAGUAGUAGACGGCUAAUCUAUUCAGAGACUCUGUGGUUGGUGCGAACAGAGUGGGUGGCUGAUCGAAUUCAUUUUUCGAGCAGAAAAUGGGAGUUUACGAUAACAAAAAUUUUCCGGUAAUCACCGUUAAUGAUGCUUAAGAGUGUUACUUUUUAGUGACAAAUUAGGGUGGUACCGCGAAACUUCGUCCCUGGG
Molecule: non-coding RNA, 215 nt
Filed under: Lentilactobacillus farraginis
Lineage: Bacteria; Bacillati; Bacillota; Bacilli; Lactobacillales; Lactobacillaceae
Description: Lactobacillus farraginis T-box sequence
Rfam family: T-box leader
About the family: Uncharged tRNA acts as the effector for transcription antitermination of genes in the T-box leader family.
Source: RNAcentral